AGUGCUCCAGGAUCCUGGCACCUUACAAUCUGUCUGCUCGGGAAAAACCCAAGGAGGCAGUCCCAUAUCUGCAGAUACCAGUGGGAGCGUGAACCAACCCUACAUUUUCAUGUGCUCUGGACAAAAUCUGUCCAUGAACAGCAGGUCCCUGGAAGAGUCCAAAUGUUUGGCAGACUACCAUGUGGAAGGCAAAAGGAAGAGUUCAGCUAGUGCCAGGCUCUGAGCAGCAGCAGGAAACUAAGAAAUUUGAAUUACAAAAUCAACCAGCUGCUCUUAACUGAUGCAGCUCCUUGAAAACUUGAUUUGCUUACCUUAUCCCUGGCACCAAUGGCUGUUAGCAUGAUCCUUGACAUCAGAUGACCAUAGGUACUACAGCUUCAGGCGCUGUUUCUGGAGCAAGCUGGAGCAAUUACUCUGCCUGAAGAGAAGGAAUUAGUCAUAGGUUUAAACACAGUAGUGAAUCCAGCCUACCUGGCAACAAAGAGAGCUAAGCUUGGGAAGCAUCACUUGCAUUAGGGCCCUAACCUGUGGUCAUGGUCUCAUGCUCCAGACUAAAUGUUGGCUUAGCACUGUUGUUUGACAUCAUUAUUUCUGCCUGUCUGGGAAAAGCUAAGGUCUAAUAAAUACACUGAAUUCAUGAGA
Molecule: long non-coding RNA, 642 nt
Organism: Harpia harpyja (harpy eagle)
Lineage: Eukaryota; Metazoa; Chordata; Aves; Accipitriformes; Accipitridae
Exons: 3
Source: RefSeq, a predicted model, not a curated record